CUGACAGCAGAGAUGUCGACAUGUCCUGCUGGCCUUCCCUUAUUAUUUCUCUAAGUUUAGUAUACUUACCCCUUAUAUUAAUAAUAACAUGGACAAGAAGGAAAAAAAAAUCAGCAGCGAUAGAAGUUGGGAAUAACAGUACAAAAUUCUUGAAAAGGAAGAGAAUAAAAAUAGAACUGAUGCAAGAAGGCUGCAGAUUUAAACUGUCUGAUUUUGAGUAAGCACAUUCUAUGGAGACAAAUGGUAAAAGCAACGUAAAGCUACAGAAAAUAACUGAAAGGAAAAUACGAUAUAGGAAGAGAAUUAACAGAAGAAUAUUCGUGGAUACCUCAUGCUGAAUGAGACCUAUUCAACUGGAUAGAGAAGUAG
RNAcentral lists this long non-coding RNA (369 nucleotides) under Phasianus colchicus (ring-necked pheasant). Its description in RNAcentral is "lncRNA (ENSPCLG00000016555.1)". The record is from RNAcentral. Lineage: Eukaryota; Metazoa; Chordata; Aves; Galliformes; Phasianidae.